CAGCCGCCACGGUAAUAUGGAGGGUGCAAGCGUUACUCGGAAUUACUGGGCGUAAAGCGUGCGUAGGUGGUUCGUUAAGUCUGAUGUGAAAGCCCUGGGCUCAACCUGGGAAUUGCAUUGGAUACUGGCGAGCUAGAGUGCGGUAGAGGGUAGUGGAAUUCCCGGUGUAGCAGUGAAAUGCGUAGAGAUCGGGAGGAACAUCUGUGGCGAAGGCGACUGCCUGGACCAGCACUGACACUGAGGCACGAAAGCGUGGGGAGCGAACAGGAUUAGAUACCCCUGUAGUCCCUGUCUCUUAUAC
This 301-nucleotide ribosomal RNA is filed under the name uncultured bacterium. RNAcentral's name for it is "partial 16S ribosomal RNA". It matches the Rfam family "Bacterial small subunit ribosomal RNA", at positions 509 to 807 of the family's 1533-position model. The record is from RNAcentral.